This 860-nucleotide ribosomal RNA is filed under the name uncultured Verrucomicrobiota bacterium. RNAcentral describes it as "bacterial SSU rRNA". It matches the Rfam family "Bacterial small subunit ribosomal RNA", at positions 542 to 1400 of the family's 1533-position model. Lineage: Bacteria; Pseudomonadati; Verrucomicrobiota. The record is from RNAcentral.
UGUUCGGAAUCACUGGGCGUAAAGGGAGCGUAGGCUGCGCGGUAAGUCAGAUGUGAAAUCCCGGGGCUCAACCCCGGAACUGCAUCCGAUACUGCCGUGCUUGAGGGUUGGAGAGGUAGCUGGAACUCUCGGUGUAGCAGUGAAAUGCGUGGAUAUCGAGAGGAACACUCGUGGCGAAGGCGAGCUACUGGACAACAUCUGACGCUGAGGCUCGAAGGCCAGGGGAGCAAAAGGGAUUAGAUACCCCUGUAGUCCUGGCAGUAAACGGUGUGCGCUUGGUGUGAGGGGAUUCGACCCCCCUUGUGCCGGAGCUAACGCGUUAAGCGCACCGCCUGGGAAGUACGGCCGCAAGGCUAAAACUCAAAGAAAUUGACGGGGACCCGCACAAGCGGUGGAGUAUGUGGCUUAAUUCGAUGCAACGCGAAGAACCUUACCAAGGCUUGACAUGCAUCUCUAAGCGCGUGAAAGCGCGUGACCCUUCGGGGGAUUUGCACAGGUGCUGCAUGGCCGUCGUCAGCUCGUGUCGUGAGAUGUUGGGGUUAAGUCCCGCAACGAGCGCAACCCCUGUGACUAGUUGCCAGCGAGUAAUGUCGGGGACUCUAGUCAGACUGCCCAGAUCAACUGGGAGGAAGGUGGGGACGACGUCAGGUCAGUAUGGCCCUUACGCCUUGGGCUGCACACGUACUACAAUGCCCAGCACAAUGAGAACCGAGACCGCGAGGUGGAGGAAAUCUGCAAAACUGGGCCCAGUUCGGAUUGGAGGCUGCAACUCGCCUCCAUGAAGCCGGAAUCGCUAGUAAUGCUGCAUCAGCUACGGCAGCGUGAAUACGUUCCCGGGUCUUGUACACACCGCCCGUCAC